UACGAAGGGGGCUAGCGUUGCUCGGAAUGACUGGGCGUAAAGGGCGCGUAGGCGGCUUGCAUCGUCAGAUGUGAAAUUCCUGGGCUUAACCUGGGGGCUGCAUUUGAUACGUGUGGGCUUGAGUGCGGAAGAGGGUCGUGGAAUUCCCAGUGUAGAGGUGAAAUUCGUAGAUAUUGGGAAGAACACCGGUGGCGAAGGCGGCGACCUGGUCCGUGACUGACGCUGAGGCGCGAAAGCGUGGGGAGCAAACAGG
This 253-nucleotide ribosomal RNA is filed under the name uncultured bacterium. Its description in RNAcentral is "partial 16S ribosomal RNA". It matches the Rfam family "Bacterial small subunit ribosomal RNA", at positions 524 to 776 of the family's 1533-position model. The record is from RNAcentral.